This 254-nucleotide ribosomal RNA is filed under the name uncultured bacterium. RNAcentral describes it as "partial 16S ribosomal RNA". It matches the Rfam family "Bacterial small subunit ribosomal RNA", at positions 524 to 776 of the family's 1533-position model. The record is from RNAcentral.
UACGUAGGGUGCAAGCGUUAAUCGGAAUUACUGGGCGUAAAGCGUGCGCAGGCGGUUAUGUAAGACAGGUGUGAAAUCCCCGGGCUUAACCUGGGAACUGCAUUUGUGACUGCAUCGCUGGAGUGCGGCAGAGGGGGAUGGAAUUCCGGCGUGUAGCAGUGAAAUGCGUAGAUAUGCGGAGGAACACCGAUGGCGAAGGCAAUCCCCUGGGCCUGCACUGACGCUCAUGCACGAAAGCGUGGGGAGCAAACAGG